This 264-nucleotide long non-coding RNA is filed under the name Sinocyclocheilus anshuiensis. Its description in RNAcentral is "lncRNA (ENSSANG00000007023.1)". Lineage: Eukaryota; Metazoa; Chordata; Actinopteri; Cypriniformes; Cyprinidae. The record is from RNAcentral.
CAGUACAGUCAGUCUUAAAAACACUGUUUAAUAAUCACUGGUGGGUUUUAAGUUCAUUUUACAGGAAUCUUUCAGCUGACAUCACAGAUGCUUCUUACUGCUUUGGCCUCUUCAUCCAUCUGCCUCCAUUUGGAAUGCUGUUCUUAAAUAAAAAGGUUUCUGCUUUCCUGCUUCUCUUGAGCCGAGCCCGUGCCAGAACUCAGCAGUGAUAUAUUUGCACAUUCCUACCACAAAAACACGGGCCGCUAUCAUUUAUCGAAUCAC